This 325-nucleotide ribosomal RNA is filed under the name uncultured eukaryote. RNAcentral describes it as "partial 18S ribosomal RNA". It matches the Rfam family "Eukaryotic small subunit ribosomal RNA", at positions 1470 to 1796 of the family's 1831-position model. The record is from RNAcentral.
CCCUUAGAUGUUCUGGGCCGCACGCGCGCUACACUGAUGCAUUCAACGAGCCUAUCCUUGACCGACAGGUCCGGGUAAUCUUUGAAUCUGCAUCGUGACGGGGAUAGAUUAUUGCAAUUAUUAAUCUUCAACGAGGAAUGCCUAGUAGGCGCAAGUCAUCAGCUUGCGUCGAUUACGUCCCCGCCCUUUGUACACACCGCCCGUCGCUCCUACCGAUUGGGUGUGCUGGUGAAAUGUUCGGAUCGGCCGUUUGUCGCGGUUUCCGCGUCAUGUGGCUGAGAAGUUCAUUAAACCCUCCCACCUAGAGGAAGGAGAGGUCGUAACA